RNAcentral lists this ribosomal RNA (511 nucleotides) under uncultured bacterium. RNAcentral describes it as "bacterial SSU rRNA". It matches the Rfam family "Bacterial small subunit ribosomal RNA", at positions 8 to 518 of the family's 1533-position model. The record is from RNAcentral.
AGAGUUUGAUUAUGGCUCAGGAUGAACGCUGGCGGCGUGCUUAACACAUGCAAGUCGAACGGAGUUUUUAAACGGAAGUUUUCGGAUGGAAGUCUAGAAACUUAGUGGCGGACGGGUGAGUAACGCGUGGGUAACCUGCCUCAUACAGGGGGAUAACAGUUAGAAAUGACUGCUAACACCGCAUAAUAUAGCGAAACCGCAUGAUUUUGCUAUCAAAUAUUUAUAGGUAUGAGAUGGGCCCGCGUCUGAUUAGCUAGUUGGUGGGGUAAAAGCCUACCAAGGCGACGAUCAGUAGCCGGCUUGAGAGAGUGACCGGCCACAUUGGGACUGAGACACGGCCCAAACUCCUACGGGAGGCAGCAGUGGGGAAUAUUGGACAAUGGGGGAAACCCUGAUCCAGCGAACCGCCGCGUGAGUGAAGAAGUAUUUCGGUAUGUAAAGCUCUAUCAGCAGGGAAGAUAAUGACAGUACCUGACUAAGAAGCCCCGGCUAACUACGUGCCAGCAGCGGC